ACCGUCGACAGUCAGGUAACGAGCGAGACCCACGCCAACAGUUGCCAGCUCGUCCUCCGGGAUAGAGGGGACACUGUUGGGACCGCCUCUGCUAAAGAGGAGGAAGGAAUGGGCAACGGUAGGUCAGCAUGCCCCGAAUUAUCUGGGCUACACGCGGGCUACAAUGGGUGGGACAAUGGGUAUCGACACCGAAAGGUGAAGGCAAUCUCCUAAACCCAUCCUUAGUUCGGAUUGUGGGUUGCAACUCACCCACAUGAAGCUGGAAUCCGUAGUAAUCGUGUCUCAAAAUGGCACGGUGGAUAUGUCCCUGCUCCUUGCACGAAUUCGCCG
RNAcentral lists this ribosomal RNA (330 nucleotides) under uncultured Methanomicrobiales archaeon. RNAcentral's name for it is "bacterial SSU rRNA". It matches the Rfam family "Archaeal small subunit ribosomal RNA", at positions 1023 to 1352 of the family's 1478-position model. Lineage: Archaea; Methanobacteriati; Methanobacteriota; Methanomicrobia; Methanomicrobiales. The record is from RNAcentral.